GUUAUAAUUAACAUCAUUGAUUCCUAAAUGUUUUAAAUACAGGUAAGAUUUCUCCAUCCAACAGAGGAUUACUGGGACUACUACCUCUCCCAAAUGCAUGCUCAGAAUUCUUCCUAAUCCCACCUCCUAGUAUUAAGGAAACAAACUUCAGAAGCAACAAAAGCAGCUUCCAUUCAGGAAUCUGUUGGGAUAGAGUCUGCAGCCAAAACAAAUAUGGAUUGAAGAGGAACCUUCUGCUUGAAGCAAGUCAGAUUCUGGAUAACCAACAGAGAUUGGUCUACUGGAAAGUUUUAAGAAAAGAAGACCAUCAUCUCAGGCUACUCUCUUCCCCUGCCCCCAUACCACUGAGACUGCUCAAUCAAUCUUUGGCAGUGCUAAGUACUAGAAUCUUCCACGGUCAACAUCUAAAGUUCUUCCACAAUCCAAAGAGAAUACCCAAAAGAAGGUAA
RNAcentral lists this long non-coding RNA (449 nucleotides) under Rhinopithecus bieti (black snub-nosed monkey). Its description in RNAcentral is "lncRNA (ENSRBIG00000046209.1)". Lineage: Eukaryota; Metazoa; Chordata; Mammalia; Primates; Cercopithecidae. The record is from RNAcentral.